AUGACAAUUUUCGAAACUGUCAUCCAAAAUCCGUCAUGCAUUAACAAGUUUCUUGUAGUGUGGCCCAGGUCGGCGUCGUCCGGCGCGGGCCAUGGCCCUGCUUCAAAGUGUGCCUGCGCACCGGCCACCCACGCUAGGUCCUUCAAGUGCCGCUUCCACCGCACCAACUCCCAGAGCCACGGCCAUGGCCAAGGCUAGGGAAGCCGCCCUUCUUUGCCCCCUUCACCGGUCACAGCCAACGCGGUGUCGCGGCACCCGGUCUCGCCGUCCUCGUCCUCCGGCAUAGUCGCGACCCAGUGA
Molecule: ribosomal RNA, 300 nt
Filed under: Triticum aestivum (bread wheat)
Lineage: Eukaryota; Viridiplantae; Streptophyta; Magnoliopsida; Poales; Poaceae
Description: partial small subunit ribosomal RNA
Source: RNAcentral